GUGCAGACGGUUCCAGCGAGGUCGAACCUGCUGUGGUUCUGGCCUUUCCUACACAGUCUGCUACAGAACCGAGGGGCCGUUUGAGGCCCUGCUGGGGGUCCACCUGGCAGGGUUUUAGGUAAACCCCUGACAUGG
Nematolebias whitei (Rio pearlfish) is the source of this 135-nucleotide small nucleolar RNA. RefSeq annotates it as small nucleolar RNA SNORA9. The transcript has a single exon. NCBI's taxonomy places the organism in Eukaryota, Metazoa, Chordata, Actinopteri, Cyprinodontiformes, Rivulidae. The record is from RefSeq and is a predicted model, not a curated record.